GGGCAGCCUAGAGCGUCCCAGGUGCGCUCUCGCUUCCGGGUCAGUAGCUUGGCGGCCCCGGGGCUGGAGAGGAAGAGCGUGGGUUCCAACGAUUUUGAGGGUUCCGACGGUUUUGUCGAUGGCUUGUGGCAGGGUCGGCGCCCUGUCGCAGGCGUUGGACCUUCCUGCGACUUCAGCCUGCGGUGCGCUGACUCUGAUGUGGGGUCCCCAGCUUCCCACGGUGCAACGGGCGCCGUGGGGAACCCGGCCAGCAGCAAUCCGAGCAUCUUCCCUCUGGUUGCAUUCUGUUACGCCUGCCUCUCUGCAGACCCUGGGCUGUCAGUGCCCGCUCCCUGUCCUGUUUGUCCAAGGCCAGAAGACAGUGCAGGAAGCCAGGGAUACCAGUCAUGCUUCAAACCGCUUGGCCUCAGGUCAGUUGAGCUUCCUUUCAGUCUGUCCUCAGACAAGCUAUCCGGUUAUCCGAAAAGGCUGAAAAAGGCUCCUUCGGCCAGGCUGUGGUUUUCUCUGCCUCCCAUUACCAAGGACUGUGGCCCUUGUAAGCGUGCGGUGGAGGAAGGAAGUUUUGACAAUAGUGAGGUUGGCAACCCAGGUGGAAGUGGAAGAAAGUCAGACGUUCUUCCUUGAAGCGUUUGUUUCACCCAUUGUGGGUGUGUCCCUGAGAGACCAGCGUUCAGUGUGUGCAUCUUUUUUUUUUUUUCUUUCUUUUAUUUUUUUGAGACAGGGUCUUCCUGUAGCCCCAGCUGGCCAGGAACUCGCUGUGUAGACCAGGAUGGCCUUGAACUCACAGAGAUAUAUCUGCCUCUGCCUCCCGAGAGCUGGGAUUAAAGGUGAGUGCCACCACGGCCAGCAUGCAUCUUCUGCUUUUUUUUUUUUUUUUUCAUCUUUUUGAGUCAGGGUCUCCCUGUAGCUAGCCCCAGCUGUCCUGGAUUCACUAUGUAGACCAGGCUGGCCUUGAACUCAUGGACAUCUGCCUCUGCCUCUCAAGUGCUGGGAUUAAAGGCGUACGCCACCAUGCCCAGCCAAAAUAGGUAUAUGAAUGAAGCAUUUUUUUUUUUUUUGGUCUUUUUGAGACAGGGUCCCCCUGCAGCCCCAGCUGUCCUGGAACUCACUAUGUAGACCAGGCUGGCCUUGAACUCACAGAGAUCCUCCUGCCUCUGGCUCCCAAGUGCUGGGAUUAAAGGUGUGCGCCACCAUACCCGGCUGCAUCUUCUGCUUUUAAACUUUUAUUUUACAUUAUUGUGUACGUGUACAUAUAAACUUGCCACAGAGUGCAUGGAGGUCAGAAGACAGCUUCCACGUUGGAUUCAGGGGAUUGACCUCAAGUAGUCAGGCUCUGCAGCAAGCUCCUUUACCCUUGAGCCACCUACCAGUCCCAACGUUUUCCUUUUCUUUCCCUUCCUUCCUCUUCCCUCCCUUUCUCCCUUCUUCCCUCCCCUCCUUCCCCUCUCCCCCUCUCCCCCUUCCUCCCUUCCUUCCUCUCCCCCUUCCUCCUUCCCUUUCCUUCUUUCUCCCUCACUCUCUUCCUUCCAGACAACCUCACUGUAUAGCUAGCUAUGAGGACCAAGUUGACCUCAAACUCACGGAGAUCUUCCUGCCCCUGCCUCCCUGAGUGCUGGGAUUAAAAAUUGCACAAUCAUUAGAUUGGGCCAAACCAGCAUAAGCAGAGCUCCUCAAGAGGAAGAAGGCUAGUAUACUCUAGAAACUGGAUGAGGUCAGUGAAUGUGGUUACAGACAAAUGGGAAGGACUGUUUGGGGUAGGAGGAGAUUGGUAGUGGUGGACUAGGAAAUGUGAGGCUCUGGUGAUGGCUGGGAGUGAGGCUGGCUGGGCUGUAGUGGGGG
This 1839-nucleotide long non-coding RNA is filed under the name Nannospalax galili (Upper Galilee mountains blind mole rat). RNAcentral's name for it is "lncRNA (ENSNGAG00000024527.1)". Lineage: Eukaryota; Metazoa; Chordata; Mammalia; Rodentia; Spalacidae. The record is from RNAcentral.